CCCGCCCCGCCCCUCCGAGCAGCCAAUGGGCACCCGCAGGGGGAGAAGCCGCCGUGCGCGAUUGGCCAGAGCUGCGUGCCAAUCACACAGCUACAGGCUGGAAAGUAAAUGAGAACUAAGCCUUAAGAUUGUGAAGAGGACAAGAACCAGCAUCCCUCCUCUCUCUUCAUAUCCAGGUCUGAUACUGUGACUUCCAUUCAAAUAAGCCUCAUAUUGUCUUCAGUGAGUUUUGCCAAGAGAUGUUAAGAUCCUUCAGCCAAAACUUAUGAAAAGAUUUAACCUGUGAGGAUGAACACUUCAAGAACGAUGGCUACAACACUAUGUAUUGUAUUCACUGCUGAUUGCAGAUGAAAAAAACUGCUUUUAGAUUUUUCUCUGGAGAUGCUGCUAGGUUAACCUUUACUGGUGGCUGGAACAUAACCUCUCCACGCUCAUUUCAGAGUCAAAGGACAGGGGUACCUGGACAUAUACAACCUUUCAUUAUUGUUUCCAGCAUGUGUCUGGGAUCAGAAGCCAUCAGAAGGGGAUCAGUCACAUUCAGAACAGAAAUUGCCUCCAUCAGGAUCAAAUUCACUGUAGAAGAUCUGAUUUUUGCUGCUCCUGCUUCCUUAUAGGAGGACAAUGUACCACCAUUGAAAGCUGCCUUCCUGGGUUUAUGGUAACUGGUUUAUGGUUUAUGGUGUUGUGGACACUUAAAAAGGGUAUAGGAAUCCAAUCUCAUUCUCAGAUAACUUCAUAGAGUGUUUUCAUUGCCUGGAAUGAAUUUGGACCUGCCUUAGCAGAGUCAGAGCUGCAGGUAGUGCUCUGACCAUACAUGGCAUAUUCACAAGCUCUUGUACUGCCCUAAAGUUCUGAUUUUUCGCUGUGAAAUAGCAGCUUCCUUUAUUUCAUGGGCAUUAAAAUAGAGUGGUGCACAGUUUCUAAUCAACAAUUACAAAAAAGAGAGGGGAGAAAAGGAAGGAUCACAAAAGUCAAUUACCAGCAAAAGCCUCCAUAGCAACUAAACUUACUACUUCUUUUCUUUCUAAGCCUCCUUGUACAUGCCAUAAGCACAAAGCAGCCAGGCCUCCCUACAGUUCAUUGGUGCCAAGUGGAUUAGGCUGGCAGAGGCUGUGCUGGUUUAAUCCCCUUUAAUGCCUUGUACCUUCAGUCUGAUGAGCAGCCAGACCCUUUUUCUCCAGCUCCACACUGAGCUCAUCAGCAGUAAUGGCUUAUCAUUACCAUCAGCAACAGGAAACUGCUUUUCCCUGUGCUCCAGGGUUUCAUGCCCCUUAAAAAAGCUGAAGAAAAAAACAAGCUUUUGCUGAAGUUUUCUUCCUUCUAACAGCUGCAAGUUGCCUAGUGAAGGGUAGUAGCAUUUAUGCACAUUGCCCCUGAAAAGUGAAAAUGAAAACUUGGCAGUAAAAGGCCAAUUCUUGGCAAGCCCGUGAAAAAUAUUUUUCACACCACAGAGAGAUGGCUUUCAUUCACAACUGAAGUGUAUCCUACUGGAAUGCAACACCAAGUAGUAUUUCACAGGCUUUUCUAUACUCAGGGUAGAAUGGGCUGGAUCGUACUUGUGUUCUUGGAAGUACCGGGAGAGACAGGAUAUAUUCAGGCUGGGGAGGAUGGGGACCCUUGGGCUCACCCACAGAGCAUGACCUGGCCAUACAUCAUGAAAAGAACUUUAAUGGGACUUUUUAUUCCUAUUACUGAGACAGAAGCAGAAAUGGCAAAUUAUAGGAAGGGCAGAAGACAUGCUGGUAAAUCUGGACAUCCUCUGCCCAGAGGGACAGAGAGUGCAGAAGUAUAACACUAAGCCUGUUCUUGGGAAAGGGACAAACUUGGUUUACUAGACAGCUGGACUCCUGCAAACCACCAUUUCAAAAGCAGUUCAGUGUAUAAUUUGUCUGUACCUGUGUGUGCCUUGGUAUCUAUUGGUGUGUUGGAGGGCAACUGUCAUUGCAAUGUGUGGUAGCCAUCCUCACUCCUGCUAGCCACACAGCCUUCCACGUUCAGCUAACUCUGUGUUCUGGUAUAAGGACUGAUGCCCCAAGAAAACGUUUCAUGCCCCAUAGAUUGCAGCAUCUGUAAAAUAAUUUCCACAUACAAAGCAGCAGAAGCCCUAAACUUAUGACAAGCUCUGUCUCAUAGCAUUGCUCUGAGGGACCCCAGCCUGUGGUUGCUCUCCUGCUAUUACUGUCAGCUAUGGAGGGAAAGGCAUGAAAGCAAGAGUGCAAAACAGACAGAGGUAUCCAAGUGCAACCUGGCUGUAUAGAGCAGGAUUGUGAUGAUUUUGGCUUCUUGGCGUAAGUUAUCCUAUUAUUAAUGUUUAGCAAAACUGUUUCUAGUAAGAUCUACGCAAAAGAACUAUGGAUAACUUAAAGUAACUUCUGAUGACUCAGAAGACAAAAAUAAAUAUUUCUAUAUGUCAUGAAAAAGACUGACUUAAACAGAUGAACCCCUUCUCAAGUAAUUUUAAUACAUUUGAAUGUCUUAAUUCCUUUGCCCUUAUUUUUCAUUGUCACUGGUGUAAUGUCAGCCUUUUCACAGGCAGCUAUGGAAAGGAAGUGUUACUAAGGUCCCAUUAUGCUAUGAGAAUAUCUUUCUUUGAGUUUUUUGUCAAACAUCAUUUGAUAUUAAUUAUAGAAGAAAUAAAUAGAUUUUUAUUAGCAUAAGAGAGGCUGAGAAUCUCUCCAAUACAUGUAAAAUUCAGCAAGCCAAAGUCCUGUUUGCUUUUGCAACAGUAGCUUCACCUCUCUGACACAGCUAGUGUGACCACCACGUUUUUAAACAGCAUUGGUAUGAGAGGGAUAUCGAGCAGAUGAAUAUAAGGGCUGGCUUUAAAAGUCACUUUCUGUUUUUAAAAACCCUCUAAAUGACCUUGAAAGAAAGCAUAACACUCAUGCCUAACAUUCACCUGCUGGUUAUUUCUGUACUGCUGUCAGUGAGUAACAUCCCAGGCAAUUCUGUGCCAUCAGAAAUGUUACCAUAUUGUUUAUAUAUUCCCAUAAAGUCUUUGCUAUGUUAUUUAUUGAUGAAGUCAAAUAGAACCCCAAAGAUUUUUCUUGCCUUUGUUUCUUCUAGAUCACAUCUCCAAAAUUGGUUUAAAGUGGCAGAAAUAUCAUGGCAUAACAAUGUAGUGAAUCAGUUGUAUUAUUUUACAGGUUGAAGCAGAGGAGAAGAAAGCUUCACUGUUUUAGCACAAGGAUUUUUGUUUUCUGUUUUACAUGAUAAAGAGUCCAGAUAAAUAGCAAAGAUAAAUCAGUGACAAAAAAAUGUAUGCCAGUAACUGGGCUUCUGGAUGCCCGAGGGCUGCCAGCUUUUCCUGGGUGAUCCCUGCUUGUAUGUGCUGUACUUGGCUGACAGCACUAACCUCAGCUGCUGCUGAAAGCUUUGUGGAAGAAAAAGCCUGGCAGAAUACAAGAGGGAGGCAAUGGAAACCAGACUCUUUAAAAAGUGAGAAAAUAUUAGAAGUGCCAUGGUGGGCUUUGGGUGGGGCAAUUCAGCAGCUGUCCUGCACAACAACUGGACUCAUGCCAGAGCAUUUGGUAUGGCCCUUCACUGGUAUGGUGCCUUCAGUGACUGUAGGGGACAGAGCCAUAGUAAACUUGGCUUCACAUGAGCUGAAAAGUUGACAGCUGACAGUGGAAAUUAUGCUGGUAACAGAACGGCCCCAUUGAGUUUUUGGGCUGUUGUCAUUAGGACAUUUUCUUAGUUCUACAUUCUUCCCAGCAUCUAGUUUUCAGAUUUUCCACAAAUAUUAGGGUUAGGAGUCAGUUUAACCAACUGUAGCUUUUAAGAAAUCAGUUGUCUAGGCUAAACCAUGGUCAUGUGUCCUUUUAAAUCACUAGUUGUACUGAUUAUAAAAUACAGUGUAUAGAGUACACCCGGUUGGGUUUGGUUUAGCUUGGUUUUUAAAUGACCUGCUUUUUAUAAAAGAAUUAAUUAAUCUUAAGAGGAUCUUCACUAUUCACUAGAGGAAAAGCCAAGGAGAACACAUAAAUUCACCCUGGAGUAGUGACUGCUCAGCUGAAUCACUGUCCAUGCUGUGGUGCUGAUAACAACUACAUCUCCUGAACAUCUAAGGGGAAUGUGGAAACAUUGACCUCUGCAGACACUGAACAUAUCCUGUUCCUUGAGCUCAUUAACCCCACAGAGGCUGUCAUUUUCAGACGGCCAAAGUCAUGUUACAUGAAUCCCAUCUCAGAUAUUUGUAUUGCACUAAUAAAAACAUACCAGAAAAUAUGAAGAAAAAGAAAAGAAAAAUACCAAGGCUCUAUCUCCUCAUGCCAGUUCAUAGACUUGAGUGAGGUUACUGUGAUUCAUUGGAGUGGAAUCCAUGAGUUAUUAUGUUGUGCUGUCACUACACGUUUGGGAGUGAGGGACGCUUGUCUGGUCACCGGAUGGUGUCCUUCUCAGAAUGAGAAAUGGCAAGGCCAGUCAAGUUCCUCCAGUCUCUAAUAAAUUUCCCUCAUGGAGACUCAGUGUCUUCUACGACAUGGCCUAAGUAAACAUCCAGCAGAAAAGAAAUCCUAUUAACUUCAAACAACUGUGGAUGAGAUUCCCAGUUUGUAUGUGUGACCUAUGGCAAAUCAAAGUGUUUGUUGCCUCAGCAACUCAGAUAAGUCUCUAAGAGAGGACUGAAGGAGUAUGUCUGUCUGAAGGACACAUUAUCUUGCAUCAGCUUUACUUUUCCGGAUGAAAAACUCCUGUCCCAAAGGACCUUUGGACAUAAAACAACAAGAAGGACAUCAAACAUGAAAUGGAUUUCUUUCUGUUCUUUUAUUGAAACGUGAUGGCUUCGUUAAUAAAUCUCUCCUUUGAAUGGGAGUUAAGACAAGCUGUGUGGUCUGUAAUUAACAUGAUUAGCCACUUUCCAAUCUUCCACAAAGCCAGGGUUUUUCUGUGGGGCAUUUUUACUGAUAUUUCUGUGAACAGUUUGAA
Molecule: long non-coding RNA, 4926 nt
Organism: Prinia subflava (tawny-flanked prinia)
Lineage: Eukaryota; Metazoa; Chordata; Aves; Passeriformes; Cisticolidae
Exons: 6
Source: RefSeq, a predicted model, not a curated record